CCUACGAGUGGCUGCAGUGAGGAAUAUUGGUCAAUGGGCGCGAGCCUGAACCAGCCAAGUAGCGUGAAGGAUGACUGCCCUACGGUUUGUAAACUUCUUUUAUAAAGGAAUAAAGUGAGGCACGUGUGCCUUUUUGUAUGUACUUUAUGAAUAAGGAUCGGCUAACUCCGUCCCCGCAGCCGCGGUAAUACGGAGGAUACGAGCGUUAUCCGGAUUUAUUGGGUUGAAAGGGAGCGUAGAUGGGUUGUUAAGUCAGUUGUGAAAGUUUGCGGCGCAACCGUAAAAUUGCAAUUGAUACUGGCAGUCUUGAGUACAGUUGAGGUAGGCGGAAUUCGUGGUGUAGCGGUGAAAUGCUUAGAUAUCACGAAGAACUCCGAUUGCGAAGGCAGCUUACUAAACUGCCACUGACAUUGAUGCUCGAAAGUGUGGGUAUCAAACAGGAUUAGAUACCCGGGUAGUC
RNAcentral lists this ribosomal RNA (460 nucleotides) under uncultured bacterium. Its description in RNAcentral is "partial 16S ribosomal RNA". It matches the Rfam family "Bacterial small subunit ribosomal RNA", at positions 338 to 795 of the family's 1533-position model. The record is from RNAcentral.